RNAcentral lists this ribosomal RNA (822 nucleotides) under uncultured bacterium. RNAcentral describes it as "bacterial SSU rRNA". It matches the Rfam family "Bacterial small subunit ribosomal RNA", at positions 28 to 829 of the family's 1533-position model. The record is from RNAcentral.
AAUCAACGCUGGCGGCGUGCCUAACACAUGCAAGUCGAACGCGAAAGCGGCUUCGGCCGUGAGUAGAGUGGCGAACGGGUGAGUAACGCGUGGGUGACCUGCCUUCGAGUGGGGGAUAACGUUUCGAAAGGAACGCUAAUACCGCAUGAUAUUUUGCUCUUGGAGGGGCAAGAAUCAAAGCUGGGGAUCGCAAGACCUAGCGCUCGAAGAGGGGCCCGCGUCCGAUUAGCUUGUUGGUGAGGUAAUGGCUCACCAAGGCGACUAUCGGUAGCCGGCCUGAGAGGGCGGACGGCCACACUGGGACUGAGACACGGCCCAGACUCCUACGGGAGGCAGCAGUGGGGAAUUGUUCGCAAUGGGCGCAAGCCUGACGACGCAACGCCGCGUGGAGGACGAAGACCCUUGGGUUGUAAACUCCUGUCGAGUGGGACGAACACUGUCCGGGUUAAUACCUCGGACGGCUGACGGUACCACUAAAGGAAGCCCCGGCUAACUCCGUGCCAGCAGCCGCGGUAAUACGGGGGGGGCAAGCGUUGUUCGGAUUUACUGGGCGUAAAGGGCUCGUAGGCGGUUAGCUCAGUCAGACGUGAAAUCCCUCGGCUCAACCGGGGAACUGCGUCUGAUACUGGUUGACUUGAAUCCGGGAGAGGGAUGUGGAAUUCCAGGUGUAGCGGUGAAAUGCGUAGAUAUCUGGAGGAACACCGGUGGCGAAGGCGGCAUCCUGGACCGGUAUUGACGCUGAGGAGCGAAAGCUAGGGGAGCGAACGGGAUUAGAUACCCCGGUAGUCCUAGCCCUAAACGAUGAAUGCUUGGUGUGGCGGG